Long non-coding RNA from Arachis duranensis, 1227 nucleotides. RefSeq lists it as uncharacterized. The record is from RefSeq and is a predicted model, not a curated record. The transcript has 4 exons. NCBI's taxonomy places the organism in Eukaryota, Viridiplantae, Streptophyta, Magnoliopsida, Fabales, Fabaceae.
AACCUACACCCGACCCAGCAAUGGAUGAGGUCUCCCUCCUCAUUCUAUAGGUGAAGCUUCAAUCCGAUGCCAAACUCAAUACCUACCACUGCAAUAUCCUACUCGACGAUGUCAAUGGUCACAGCUACUGCAUGUUACCCGAGAGCAUAGAUCCGUCAUUGAGAGACAAUCGGAGAAAUUCUCAUGAGACCAGAUGUGAGCAGAAGAAACCCAAGCAGCAGGAUUCUGCGCAGAUGCAAAAGCACAAAGUUGCACAAUGAGGCUAUCUCACUGUGUCCGAUCCGCACGUCAGCUGAAGAAGACCCAAAGGAGCAUAGACCAAUCUUCGUGUUUGAUGAAACUGAAUGCAAGUACGUGGUUAUUCAUGGCUACUCUCCCCUCAUAGCUAGUUCCAUGCCUGUCCAGCCUCCCUGGCAUAUUCCUUAGCAGCCGCAUCAACACCUCCUCAAACUGCCCACUGGUCACUCAGUAAUGAGAUCCUGGAAAGCUCAAAGCAGAUGGAUUUGAGGCAGAGCCGUGCACUCCGAAACGCAAGACACUGGUUUUCUGACCCUCCAGACUAGCAGAAAGCAAGCUGAGCUAGCGAGACAAAGACGUACAUCGCCAAACAACACCCAUGGCACUCCCCCUUCCCAACAAACAAGUGCUCUUCUGCCAAAAUGUUGAUGAUGGUUUGCGGCUUGCAGCUGAGCCAAUUCUGUUGAAGAGAACCAUCAACAGUAAGCCUGGCUACUUCAUGUGCUAAGCCAUUCCCUUCUCUAGGCAACCAGCUAGAGGUGAGGAAGAUGCAAUUCUAGAAUUUGAAGCUGCAAGGAGGCUUCCAGUAUAGUCUCUGAAUACUGCCGCUGUUGCUCCUCCAGAGUACACUUCGCGAAACGCUGCAUCCACAUUGCACUUAAUCCAUCCUCGCGGAGGCGGUCUCCAGGUAUUUUCUGGCUGAAAUUGAGGGAGCUGAGCAAAAAUCUGACUUAGGCUGAAAAAGGACUGCUGAUGCUGUUGGAUCCUGACCUCCCUGCACUCGAAAUAGAUUUUCUGGAGCUAUAGGAGUCCAAUUGGCGCGCUCUCAACGGCGUUGGAAAGUAGACAUCCAGGGCUUUCCAGCAAUAUAUAAUAGUCCAUACCUUGCGCAAGGAUAGACGACGUAACUUGGCGUUAAACGCCAAGUUCAUGCUGCUGUCUGGAGUUAAACGCCAGAAAAACGUCAUUAUCCAGAGUUGAACGCCCAAA